Long non-coding RNA from Homo sapiens (human), 2628 nucleotides. Ensembl annotates it as RELA divergent transcript. Its record names the gene RELA-DT. Lineage: Eukaryota; Metazoa; Chordata; Mammalia; Primates; Hominidae. The record is from Ensembl.
AGUGCACGCCGCGCGGAGGACGAAGAGGCUGCACGCACAGCCGCUGCCGGGGGUCGGGGCCAAGUGCGCGCCUCGCCGAGGACGAAGAGGCUGGCGUGCCCGGUGGCUCGGCUAGCUCCCGGGUCCCGGCCCCGCCUGGAGGAUGCGGCUGUGGGGGAAUGGGAGCGGCCGGACCUCCCAGCCUGACAGUGCAUCAAGAGCUUUGCGGAGCCUACAGCCCGGAUGGGACGACUGAGGCCCUCCCGCUGGCGAGCUGGCCGAGGGCUCGUCCCUCUCCAGCUAAAGCGCCAGCUUACGAUACAGCCAAACUGCCGGCUCUCAUCGGCUGUGGGAGCAGGAGGCCCCCAGGGGUAAAUCCCGGAGCCUCGUCUCUGAAGCCUGGCGCUUGUGUCUCAGAAGGUGCGGGACCCACAGGGACACUUGAAUCAGCAGGCUCACGACCCCCCACCCCCCUGCCCCCGCCUGUGUUUGCCCUGGACCUCCAGCUAGGGCUGACCACUAAUUCUGUCAUGUGACCCCACAGUGCAGGUAGCUCCCCCAAGACCAAGCCCAAGGCGCGUCCGUGUGGAGGCUGGGGCUGACGCACCCCCACCCCAGGCCUCAUCCCCAAAGGAGGAUGCUCCACUGCAGGGGGCGGAGUCUUCUCCAGAUGGAGAAAGACUUUUUUAUUUUCUCUGAAUUCGUCUUAAAUUAGGAAAUCAUGUGGGAAUUGGAAAAGAUUGGAAAUUCUGACUUGUUUCCCAGGCUCUGAAGAAACAGGAAGAGAAAAGUGAAAAUAGAGUUAGCACCCCGCCCACUCAUUUCAGUUUCUCCAGUGGCUGGCCCUGAUUAGAAAAGUGUUUACUUUUGGCAGGGGGCGGGGGAGGCCGACUUCAGGUGACAGAAUGGAUUAAUUAAAAUCUUUGGUUAAUGAUAUACAAUUAUCAUUGAACCUUGCAUGGAUCCUCUUCUUAAAAUUCAUGUAUAUUUAUAACUUUUAAAUUAAUACGAUAAACACCCAUGUACCCAUUGCAAAACUCAAGGGGCCACCACCAUCCAGAAUUCUGUAUUGUAUUGUAUUGUAUUGUAUUGUAUUGUAUUGUAUUGUAUUGUAUUUAUUUAUUUAUUUAUUUUUUGAGACACGGUCUGUCUCUGUCGCCCAGGCUGGAGUGCAGUGGCACAAUCUCUGCUCACUGCAGCCUCUACCUCCUGGGCUCAAGCAAUCCUCCCACUUCAGCCUCUUGCAUAGCUGGGACUACGGGAGCACACCACCAUGCCCGGCUAAGUUUUUGUAUUUUUUGUAAAGAAGUGGUUUAACCUUGUUGUCCAGGCUAGUCUUGAACUCCUGAGCUCAACUUUCCUCCCCGCUUGGCCUCACAAAGUGCUGGGAUUACAGGCGUGAGCCACCACGCUGGGCCAGAAUUCUGUAUUUUUUAAAUUAAUUAAUUAAUUAAUUUAUUGUAAAUAGAGAUGGGUCUCACUGUGUUGCCCAGGCUGGUCUCAAACUCCUGGGCUCAAGCGAUCCUCCCACCUCAGCCUCCCAAAGUGGGAUUACAGGCAUGAGCCACCACACCUGGCCCAGAAUUCUGUAUUUUAAAGAAAAAAAAAGUUAUAUCUGCAUGCCUACACAAUAUAUCUUUUGGUUUUCCUUAGUUUUGAACUUUUUUUUUUUUUUUUUUGAGACAAAGUCUCACUCUGUCGCGCAGGCUGGAAUGCAGUGGCAUUCUGCUUACUGCAACCUCUGCCUCCUAGGUUCAAGCGAUUCUCCUGCCUCAGCCUCCUGAGUAGCUGGGAUUAAAGGGGCCAACCACCACGCCCAGCUAAUUUUUGUAUUUUUUUAGUAGAGACGGGGUUUCACCAUGUUGGCCAGGCUGGUCUCGAACUCCUGACCUCAGGUGAUUCGCCAGCCUCUGCCUCCCAAAGUGCUGAGAUUACAGGUGUGAGCCACCGCACCCAGCCAGUUUUGAACUUUUAUGAAGAGGGCAUCAUAUGAUUUGUUGUCCUUUGUUACUUGCUUUUUUCACUCAACCUGUUACUAUGAUUCAUGUUUCACAGUUAAUUCACUUUUUCACUGCUGUAUACUAUUUUGUUGUGUAAAUAUACCACAGUUUGUUUAUUCAUCCUGAAGAUAGGCAUUUUUAUUUUUAUUUUUUUGAGAUGGAGUUCCUCUCUUGUGGCCCAGGCUGGAGUGCAAUAGCACCAUCUCGGCUCACUGCAACCUCUGCCUCCCAGGUUCAAGUGAUUCUCCUGCCUUAGCCUCCUGAGUAGCUAGGAUUACAGAUUUAUAGGAGCAUUGUGACUGGACCAAGGACAAAGAAGUUCCCAACCUCCUCAGACCCUCGCUGCUGCCCAGAUGUCUGCCAUGGGGUGGCCAUCAUCGAAUCCACUGAGGGCGCAAAUAGAACAAAAAGGUGAAGAAAAGGUGAAUUCUCUCCUUUCUUGAGCUGGGACAUCCAACUUCUCAGACAUCAGAGCUCCUGGAGGCCUUCAGACUCCGAGACAUUACACCAUUGGCUCACCUGGUCCUCAGGUCUUUGGACUUGGAAUGAAUUACACCAUUGGCUUUCCAGGUCUUCCAGCUUGCAGAUGGCAGAUUGUGGGACUUUUCAGCCUCCAUAACUUUGUCAUCCAAUUCCCAUAAUAAAUCGC